AUAAUACUAUAUAUUGUUAUGGUUAUCGUCAUGAAACUUAAUUCAUCCAUUGACAUAUAUGGUUGAUGAGAUGUCCACGUUCAAUGCAGGUUUAAAAAGCAUCAAAAAUUAGUGAACAACAUCAAUGAAUCAUGAUCCAUGAAAAUUUCUCAAGCUAUGUAAUCAAGCCCCUCAAGUUUAUCUCUUAGUCCUUUCAGUGUACAACAGUUAAGCCCUCAUGUCCAAAUAAACGAGCUUCUCCAUCCGCUGAGAUGAUCAACGAGGUGGGCGAAGAGAGGGCCAUCAAAGAAAGAAGGUUUUACUUGCAUCCAUCUCCAAGGUCUAAAUAUGGAAAUGCUGCAGAACUAGAGUUACUCACCUUGUUUCCUUUAACUUCCCCUCGUGAAAACAAUGAAUCAUGAUCCAUGAGUUAAUUGAUUGAUUCUUUUUCUUCAGCUAGAAGUACUUAUUGUACUAGUAUAUCAAUUAUUUGCAUUUUUGUUCACAGAAAACUACAAGAACAGCCAAAAUUAGACAAUA
This is a long non-coding RNA of Nicotiana attenuata, 519 nucleotides long. RefSeq lists it as uncharacterized. The record is from RefSeq and is a predicted model, not a curated record. Lineage: Eukaryota; Viridiplantae; Streptophyta; Magnoliopsida; Solanales; Solanaceae. The transcript has 2 exons.